UCUGUAUUGGUGAUUGGCAGCAAAAAACCUGAUCAGAGCAUCCCUAGCUAUUAGAUCAACGUGAAAACUAUUAUUUAUUUUGGGAUGUAGACUGGGGGGAAAUUGGUGAUCCGAGGAACCCUCCUAUUAUUAGAUCAAGAAAAUCGACGUGUUUCGGUCACGUAUGACCUUUGGCGGGGCAUCUAUUAUUAAUUUUUUUUAUUGUGCUGUGUGCUUUUACAUCAGAUUUUAUAUCAUUUUGUGACACAUGUUACUAUUUGUAGAUUUUUUAUUAUGUGCUUUUUGUCAUUUCAGAUUGAAAACAAUGAAUUCACCCUGCAUACUGAAAGUUAUCCUGGUGGAUAACACUAGCCAGAGGCUAAUACUUUCAAAUGGACUUCCUCAGUCUGUUCCAGAGCUGAUGGAGGAAGUGCAACGUCAGUGUGGACUGACAUACAACCUCAAAUUACAAUUAUGGAUUCACUCUUUGACAAUGACUUUAUUAAUCUGACAUCAACAUCUGAACUACAAAACAGAGGCACAAUUAAGGUAGUUGAUCUCUCCGAAGUUGGGUUUUCCCAGUCUUCUUCCUUAACCGCUGGAUGUGACCACAAGCUGUAGAGAAAAGAUCAGCUUCAAGUUUUUCUGGUGUGAGCUGUCCUGACAUAGAGCACCUUCCUCCUGCCGAGUCUGAGCAGUCACUUUCAAGGUUGCAAUGGCCAGCCAAGUUUUGUGUGCCAAAGUUUGCAUUUGAUUCUGAGUUCAAACUUGAAAAAGCUAAUGCUGAAUACAGGGAGAUAAAAACACUUCUUAUCCCAGACUGUAAAUUACUGUCAAACAUUCUGGAUUGUCUUAUUCAAGAAAUUGUUUGUUAUGGACUAUACAUAACUGAUAACCAGUUCAGCUGCGUGGGAGAGGCCCUCAUCAAGAAGCAUCCUUGUCUGCUAGAGCGAGGUUCAAUAACUGGAUACGCUGCACUGUAAUUCCCAAUAGUGCUUCUUACUAAAAUUAUGUCAGUUAUUUUCACUCACUUUAGCUAAAUAGUUAUACUUACUUUUAUACAAUUAGUUAAAACCCCAAACUAACAGUGUGAUGUUAAAACUCAUUCAUAAUUAGUAUAAUUGUGUUUAUCUUUUCUUUGGAGUAAUGUGCUUUUAAACUGUUUAAGUUGAGGUCGCUCAUUUCAAACAAAAAAAUAACCCCUCCCUUUUGCUUUUCCUACGUCAUCACUGAGCCUUGCACACGGAGAUGCUAACACAGCUCUGGGUGCUAUGCCACCGACAACAGCAGCGCCAGCGGCCAUUAGAGGCAUUUUUCGGCACGGAGGAGAAUUUUAACCACAUUGCCAGAAUUACAAGGCUUCCCACCUGACCUCCUGCACGACCUGUUUGAAGGCGUUGUUCCAGUGGAGAUAGCUCAUUGCUUAAAAGGUUUGAUUUCCAGUAAAUAUUUUACAUUAGAAGACUUAAAUCGAGCAAUAUUGCACUUUCCAUAUCAACAUUCUGACAAAGUUGAUCGCCCUCAUCCAAUACCCACUAAUUUUGCCAGUCGAGGGACCAUUGGUGGGAAUGCUCAUGAAAAUCAUGCCCUGCUUAUAAUGUUGCCUCUUCUCAUUGGCUCAAAAGUCCCAGAAAGAGACACGUUUUGGGAAGUGCUAAUGGAGUUAAAGGAUGUCGUUCAGCUUGCCAUGUCUCAGAUUUUUAAUGAAGAGACCAUUCAGUACUUGGCUUGUAAAAUAUUGGACCACCGGCAACUCUUCCAAGAAGUGUUUCCUAAUGUUCGAUUAAGGCCAAAGCAUCAUUACAUCGAGCAUUACCCACACUUGAUAAAAUGCUUUGGUCCCUUGGUCCACCUUUGGACAAUGAGAUUUGAGGGAAAGCAUAAGGUUUUCAAAAAAAUUAUUCAUGACACUCACAACUACAAAAAUGUGUUAAAAACUUUGGCAGAGCGACAUCAAAGUCAGAUGGCAUUUUAUUUGUCAUCCUCAAAGUUUUUCAAACCACAUGUUCAGACAUCCAAAAUGGAGUCUAUGUACAUCUCAUCACUACCUGCAGAUACACAAUCAUUUAUCUCAGGUAUUGUUGACAGUGACACAGUUUAUGGAACAAAAAAUAUCUCAAUUGAUGGCACAAGCUUUGCAAUUGGCAUGUUUGUAUGUACUGGUGCUUAUGCAGCCUUGCCAGAGUUCAAAGAGAUUCGAAACAUCCUACUCAUCAGCGACAAAAUGCAUUUUCUCUUAAAAGACUACGACACUUUGUAUGUUGAGCACUUGAGGUCAUACGAACUAGUCGAGCAUAUACCGGAGAGUCAUAGUGUCAAAUCUGUGUGCCAGCUGUCUGACCACCUGCCACAUUUUGCUUAUAAGAUUGCAAAUGAACUAAUUCUAACAACAAAACAUUUCAUUCCAGUGUCUGACUAAAGAAACAGAACUGAAAUAUCAGCGGAUCUCCCCAGCCCUUCUGCCAGUGUACAGGUAAUGCAUACAUGGCAUGAGAACUCUGAGUGUGUUGAAAUGUCGCUAUAUUAUUUGAAUCCUGUAUGUUACAGGACCUACAACUUCAGAUGGAGGCAACAGAGAGACUGAAGCUAAGGGUCAUCCUUGAUAAUGAUAAUGCUGAAAGACUUAUUCUGCCAUCUCGCCCAAGCAGUGUACAGGCCCUCAUAGAUGAAAUCAAAACUAGGCUAAAGUUGACUUUUGACUUUAGGCUUCAGUUUGAAGAUCCAGAUUUUGAUCAUGCAUUGUGUAAUUUGGUUGAAAUGGAACACCUCCCAAGCACAGCAUCGGUUAAAAUAAUCAGAUUAGUGGAGCUGGACUUGAUUUCAACCAGCACUAGUGAGACAAGUCUUCUGAACGAUAGCACUGAUGCCAUAGAUUCACCAGAGCGUAUUAGUCGGUGGCCAGAGGUUUUUAUUGUUCCAAAAUUUUCUUAUGAGGUGGAACAUGUGCUAAAGGAAGGUAAUGCAGCAUUUGAAAAAGAUGGGAAACUAAUUAGACUUCCUAGAGAUCAAAAACACAACAUACUCGAGGUAAUGGGGGAAGAAAAUUUUUAAACUGAAGGCAUAUCCUAGUAGCACACAGAUUGGAAAGGCUGCAAAAGCUUUAGUUGAAAAGCAUCCCUGUCUGAAGGAGAACAAUUCUGACACUGGUUGGGAAGGAUGGAAGAAUAGUUUGAGACACAAAAUAGGAAACCGUACAGUGCACGUCUGUACGUGCGCUUGCUAAGCCCUUGAUCUUUAGUCCCAAAGCUGUCAUGAGAUCAAACCACCUUUGUACGUCAAAGGAGUCGCAUCUUUGAACAUAGCAAAUCGGAUUGUCAGAAAUCAACUAUGCCUGCCUCUUACGUGGAAUUAUUUAAACGCAACAAGGAACUGGAGAGGGAAAGAAAUGAAUUAUCUCGAAAAGUCACGGAUUAUGAACAAGUAAUUCUGUUACUGAAAGAGAAACAAGCUACCGAAAAAUUACAAUCGAAUGAGAAGUAUGAAAAAGAUAUGAAACAAAAAGCUUUAGAUAAUGACUUUAAAAUUCAAAAAGCAAAUGAAGAGAUAGCUGGUUUGAGAAACAAGAUCUCGCAACAGGAGGAAUCUAUUAAAGAACUCAAACAGGAGAAUAAAUCUCUUAAAAUAUGUGAUAAAAAACUGAACAAAAUGACUCUUGAUCAAAGGACCCUAAAAGAUAGAAUUCAGACCAUCAAGGAAAAUAACAAAACGCUCACAUCAAAAAAAUCGACUUUAAAUAAAACAGUUCGUGCACUUAAAAAAAA
Non-coding RNA from Nothobranchius furzeri (turquoise killifish), 3740 nucleotides. The record is from RefSeq and is a predicted model, not a curated record. Lineage: Eukaryota; Metazoa; Chordata; Actinopteri; Cyprinodontiformes; Nothobranchiidae.